Molecule: ribosomal RNA, 244 nt
Filed under: uncultured bacterium
Lineage: Bacteria
Description: partial 16S ribosomal RNA
Rfam family: Bacterial small subunit ribosomal RNA
Source: RNAcentral
AUCCUGGCUCAGGAUGAACGCUAGCUACAGGCUUAACACAUGCAAGUCGAGGGGCAGCAUUUCAGUUUGCUUGCAAACUGGAGAUGGCGACCGGCGCACGGGUGAGUAACACGUAUCCAACCUGCCGAUAACUCGGGGAUAGCCUUUCGAAAGAAAGAUUAAUACCCGAUGGUAUAAUUAGACCGCAUGGUCUUGUUAUUAAAGAAUUUCGGUUAUCGAUGGGGAUGCGUUCCAUUAGGCUAGG